This 520-nucleotide long non-coding RNA is filed under the name Struthio camelus australis. RNAcentral describes it as "lncRNA (ENSSCUG00000000682.1)". Lineage: Eukaryota; Metazoa; Chordata; Aves; Struthioniformes; Struthionidae. The record is from RNAcentral.
CAGUAUACCUAGGGAGGUAUCUGGAAGUUAAAGAAACUCAGAGCAGAAAGGCCUAAAGCAGAACUGAUGAAUAUGAUGCAUUGCGGUGAUUUUCUGACAAGUUAAGAUACAUUUUCUGUCACUCCUGGCUCCAAGGAGAGACUGUCUGGAAGCUUUGGCAUGACUCCCUGCCCUACAGCAACGGACCCUGCAGUCGUGAAGACCUUGGAUUUGGAGAAAUCUUCUUGCAUUUUCUACUGGCUUCCCUCUGCAACUCAGCUACUUGUUGUAACUCCUAUUCCUGCAUGCUUGAUCCUCUGCUCCCUGUAAAGGCAGUUUGGUGAAGUCCAGUCCCAGAACCAGGCUCCUAAGAAGGCUGGCUGUGGCACUGCUGGGAAUUGCCACAUGGAUCUCAGACCAGGCUUUUGUGUGGAAACAAGGUAAGUCACCCUGAAAUUCCUGACUUCAUAAAGGUUUGUCUCUCUCAUCAUACAGGCUCAGCAAUUUAGUUUGAAAAAUCCUGGAAACUGAAAGAUUAUAU